AGUGGCGCACGGGUGAGUAACGCGUGGGUAUCUGCCCUUAGGUCUGGAAUAACUUGUCGAAAGACAAGCUAAUACCAGAUGAUAUUGUAAAAUCAAAGCCGUAAGGUGCCUAAGGAUGAGCCCGCGUCCCAUUAGCUAGUUGGUGGGGUAAUGGCCUACCAAGGCGACGAUGGGUAGCUGGUCUGAGAGGAUGAUCAGCCACACUGGAACUGAAACACGGUCCAGACUCCUACGGGAGGCAGCAGUGAGGAAUAUUGCGCAAUGGGAGCAAUCCUGACGCAGCAACGCCGCGUGAGUGACGAAGGCCUUCGGGUUGUAAAGCUCUGUUGAGAGGGAAGAAUUUUGACGGUACCUCUCGAGGAAGCACCGGCUAACUCCGUGCCAGCAGCCGCGGUAAUACGGAGGGUGCAAGCGUUGUUCGGAAUCACUGGGCGUAAAGCGGGUGUAGGCGGUUUAUUAAGUCAGAUGUGAAAGCCCAAGGCUUAACCAUGGAAGUGCAUCUGAAACUGAUAGGCUAGAGUUCUAGAGAGGAAAGUGGAAUUCCUGGUGUAGGAGUGAAAUCCGUAGAUAUCAGGAGGAAUACCAGUGGCGAAGGCGACUUUCUGGAUAGAUACUGACGCUAAGACCCGAAAGCGUGGGGAGCAAACAGGAUUAGAUACCCUGGGUAGUCCACGCCCUAAACGAUGGAUACUAUGUGCAGGGGGUAUCAACUCCUCCUGUGCCGUCGCUAACGCAUUAAGUAUCCCGCCUGGGGAGUAUGGGCCGCAAAGGUUGAAACUCAAAAGGAAUUGACGGGGGCCCGCACAAGCGGUGGAGCAUGUGGUUUAUUCGACGCAACGCGAGAACCUUUACCUGGGGUUGACAUCCCGA
This 870-nucleotide ribosomal RNA is filed under the name uncultured bacterium. Its description in RNAcentral is "bacterial SSU rRNA". It matches the Rfam family "Bacterial small subunit ribosomal RNA", at positions 94 to 992 of the family's 1533-position model. The record is from RNAcentral.